This is a long non-coding RNA of Balaenoptera musculus (blue whale), 116 nucleotides long. RefSeq lists it as uncharacterized. The record is from RefSeq and is a predicted model, not a curated record. The transcript is spliced from 3 exons. Lineage: Eukaryota; Metazoa; Chordata; Mammalia; Artiodactyla; Balaenopteridae.
AUUCGAGACUAAGGAUGAGAGAGAGAGGAUGAAGAGAAAAACUAGAUGCCUCAAGGUGGUAGAGCCGAUGGGAGAAAUGAACAGAAAGGCUCCUCCUCUUUCUCUAGACAGAGACC